Molecule: long non-coding RNA, 789 nt
Organism: Rhagoletis zephyria (snowberry fruit fly)
Lineage: Eukaryota; Metazoa; Arthropoda; Insecta; Diptera; Tephritidae
Source: RefSeq, a predicted model, not a curated record
UGUGGCAGAGUGACUAUGCUCUUCCGUUGAUGUCUUGCUUUUAGCCGACUGCUAACUCUGGACAGCUGGUCUAGUAACAUCGGCAACGCUGAUUUGGUUGCAUGCAGCUCAGACGCGUUUUAAACUCGGAAAGGUGAAGUACGCAUGCGCGACGCUCUUGCUCGAUUAGCGGUGAUGUGGAUAUGAAUUAAACGCAAAUAAAUUAAAAAAAAAUGAAAAUUAAAUAACUAAAUACGUACAUACAUAUCAGGUCAGCUACUACAUAAAUAAGUGAUCUGAUGGCUCAUCAAAGUCAGGUGCUCAGCUGUAAAUUGUGUGAACGGCUUACUUAAAUAAUAAACAAAUAAAAAACAAAAGACAUGUCGCAAUAAACAAUUAAACGAGUGAAUUAAAACAACACAAACAAAUUUCCGAAAGAUUUCUACCGUAAUUUCCAGCUGUGCGAAUCGUGAUCAAAACCGCCGCAGCGAUUAGAUAGAUUUAACACUGAAAUGCUAAUAUUUUGCAUUAGCAAGACCAAACGCGUUUUCGUAAGAAAUGAAAGUGUGUGUGUGAAAUUAAAAAAAAAGUAAAAAAUACAUGUAGUUAAAAUAAAAGAACAAUUUUGAAGAAAUCAACAACUUGCAAAUUUCAUUAACAAAAACCAAAAAGAAAAAAUCCAAAAGCAAAAGCGGCUAAGCUACACACUCCUGAUCCCCCGCCCCCCCCCACAGAGCGUGAUCAAUCUAUAUGCAAACAUACAUAUGUAUGCCACUGUAAUAAAGUGAAAAGUGUACUAAAAAAAAAAAA